GACGAACGCUGGCGGCGUGCUUAACACAUGCAAGUCGAACGGAAAGGCCCUGCUUGCAGGGUACUCGAGUGGCGAACGGGCGAGUAACACGUGGGUGAUCUGCCCUGCACUUCGUGAUAAGCCUGGGCAACUGGGUCUAAUACCUGAUAGGAGCCACGUCUAGCGGGAUGGUGGGAAAGUUUUUUCGGUGUAGGAUGAGCUCGCGGCCUAUCAGCUUGUUGGGGGGGUAAUGGCCUACCAAGGCGGCGAGGGGUAGCCGGCCUGAGAGGGUGGACGGCCACACUGGGACCGAGGGGCGGCCCAGACUCCGACGGGAGGCAGAAGUGGGGAAGAUUGCACAAUGGGCGCAAGCCUGAUGCAGCGAGGCCGCGGGGGGGAUGACGGCCUUCGUGUUGUAAAAUCCUUUCGCUAGGGACGAAGCUUUUUGUGACGGUACCUAGAUAAGAAGCACCGGCUAACUACGUG
RNAcentral lists this ribosomal RNA (465 nucleotides) under uncultured bacterium. RNAcentral describes it as "partial 16S ribosomal RNA". It matches the Rfam family "Bacterial small subunit ribosomal RNA", at positions 28 to 507 of the family's 1533-position model. The record is from RNAcentral.